This 136-nucleotide unclassified non-coding RNA is filed under the name Escherichia coli. Its description in RNAcentral is "sgRNA from Escherichia coli (PDB 7VYX, chain D)". The record is from RNAcentral. Lineage: Bacteria; Pseudomonadati; Pseudomonadota; Gammaproteobacteria; Enterobacterales; Enterobacteriaceae.
GGAAACUCCCGACUUCCUCAGGAUGAAGUUGAUUCUUUAUCCAUACCUUGGUGCCGGGACGCCGAUUGAGGAAUGGGCGGCGCCUUCCAAAUUUAUUGGAAGGGUUUAUAAGGCAACAUCGAACAUAUAACAAGCU